GAUGAAGAACGCAGCGAAAUGCGAUAAGUAAUGUGAAUUGCAGAAUUCAGUGAAUCAUCGAAUCUUUGAACGCACAUUGCGCCCCUUGGUAUUCCGGGGGGCAUGCCUCUUCCAGCGUCAUUGCUGCCCUCAAGCACGGCUUGUGUGUUGGGCCCCGUCCUCCGAUCCCGGGGGACGGGCCCGAAAGGCAGCGGCGGCACCGCGUCCGGUCCUCGAGCGUAUGGGGCUUUGUCACCCGCUCUGUAGGCCCGGCCGGCGCUUGCCGAUCAACCCAAAUUUUUAUCCAGGUUGACCUCGGAUCAGGUAGGGAUACCCGCUGAACUUAAGCAUAUCAAUAAGCGGAGGA
This 346-nucleotide unclassified non-coding RNA is filed under the name soil metagenome. RNAcentral describes it as "partial contains 5.8S ribosomal RNA, internal transcribed spacer 2, and large subunit ribosomal RNA". The stretch from base 1 to 120 matches the Rfam family "5.8S ribosomal RNA", at positions 35 to 154 of the family's 154-position model. The record is from RNAcentral.